RNAcentral lists this ribosomal RNA (253 nucleotides) under uncultured bacterium. RNAcentral's name for it is "partial 16S ribosomal RNA". It matches the Rfam family "Bacterial small subunit ribosomal RNA", at positions 524 to 776 of the family's 1533-position model. The record is from RNAcentral.
UACAGAGGGUGCAAGCGUUAAUCGGAUUUACUGGGCGUAAAGCGAGUGUAGGUGGUUUGCUAAGUCAGGUGUGAAAUCCCAGGGCUCAACCCUGGAACUGCAUUUGAUACUGGCAGGCUAGAGUGUGGUAGAGGAUAGUGGAAUUCCCGGUGUAGCGGUGAAAUGCGUAGAUAUCGGGAGGAACAUCAGUGGCGAAGGCGGCUAUCUGGACUAACACUGACACUGAGACUCGAAAGCGUGGGGAGCAAACAGG